GAUGAAGAACGUAGCGAAAUGCGAUAAGUAAUGUGAAUUGCAGAAUUCAGUGAAUCAUCGAAUCUUUGAACGCACAUUGCGCCCGCUAGUAUUCUGGCGGGCAUGCCUGUCCGAGCGUCAUUUCAACCCUCAAGCCCCCGGGCUUGGUGUUGGGGAUCGGCGAGCCUCCGCGCCCGCCGUCCCCUAAAUCUAGUGACGGUCUCGCUGUAGCUUCCUCUGCGUAGUAGCACACCUCGCACUGGGAAACAGCGCGGCCACGCCGUUAAACCCCCAACUUCUGAACGUUUGACCUCGGAUCAGGUAGGAAUACCCGCUGAACUUAAGCAUAUCAAUAAGCGGAGGA
RNAcentral lists this unclassified non-coding RNA (343 nucleotides) under soil metagenome. Its description in RNAcentral is "partial contains 5.8S ribosomal RNA, internal transcribed spacer 2, and large subunit ribosomal RNA". The stretch from base 1 to 120 matches the Rfam family "5.8S ribosomal RNA", at positions 35 to 154 of the family's 154-position model. The record is from RNAcentral.